This 241-nucleotide ribosomal RNA is filed under the name Serratia marcescens. RNAcentral describes it as "partial 23S ribosomal RNA". It matches the Rfam family "Bacterial large subunit ribosomal RNA", at positions 2690 to 2925 of the family's 2925-position model. The record is from RNAcentral. Lineage: Bacteria; Pseudomonadati; Pseudomonadota; Gammaproteobacteria; Enterobacterales; Yersiniaceae.
GACCGGAGUGAACGCACCACUGGUGUUCGGGUUGUCAUGCCAAUGGCAUUGCCCGGUAGCUAAGUGCGGAAAAGAUAAGCGCUGAAAGCAUCUAAGCGCGAAACUUGCCUCAAGAUGAGUCUUCCCUGGGCCUUCAAGGCCCCUGAAGGAACGUUUAAGACUAAGACGUUGAUAGGCUGGGUGUGUAAGUGCAGCGAUGCAUUGAGCUAACCAGUACUAAUGAUCCGUGAGGCUUAACCUU